This 379-nucleotide ribosomal RNA is filed under the name uncultured eukaryote. Its description in RNAcentral is "partial 18S ribosomal RNA". It matches the Rfam family "Eukaryotic small subunit ribosomal RNA", at positions 592 to 976 of the family's 1831-position model. The record is from RNAcentral.
CAAUAGCGUAUAUUAAAGUUGUUGCGGUAAAAAAGCUCGUAGUUGGAUUUCUGUUGAGAGCGACCGGUCCAUACCAUGUAUGCGUAUCUGGCUUGCUCUCGGCAUCCUCUCGAUAGACGUUGCUGCGCUUGAUUGCGUGGCGCGGAUCUCGGGACUUUUACUUUGAGGAAAUUAGAGUGUUCACGGCAGGCUUUCGCCAGAAUACAUUAGCAUGGAAUAAUACUAUAGGAUCUUGGUUCUAUUUUGUUGGUUUCUAGAAUUGAGAUAAUGAUUAAUAGGGACAAUUGGGGGCAUCCGUAUCAACACGUCAGAGGUGGAAUUCUUGGAUUGUGUUGCGACGAACUACUGCGAAAGCAUUUGCCAAGGAUGUUUUCAUUGA